Molecule: small nucleolar RNA, 126 nt
Organism: Xyrauchen texanus (razorback sucker)
Lineage: Eukaryota; Metazoa; Chordata; Actinopteri; Cypriniformes; Catostomidae
Product: small nucleolar RNA SNORA71
Exons: 1
Source: RefSeq, a predicted model, not a curated record
UCCUGUAUCGAAAGUGGCUGUGGGGUGACGUGUCUCCAGGUCAUUGAUAAUACAGGAAGAGAAAACCGAAAGUCUUUCCCGUGUUUGCUGGAUGUUGUUCCUGACAAACCCUGAAUCUUUCACACA